CUACAACCCCCAAUUUCACCUAGGCUUGGGACGCCUUUCCCUUGUUCCAAGUCCCUUGACUGGAACAAGCACAAUAACCAAAGGUUUUACAAAAGAUUUGAAAGCUCUAAAUAAGCAGAUAAAACAGUGAGAAAUAACAAAACCCGGAAGAACCCUUUUAGCCGUUGGAAGCAUGGGAAAUGGUGGUUCUUCCGAUGUAGAUCGCGUUGUCUUGAAUGUGAGCUUUGAAUGCCGAUCGGGAGAGAGUAGUUGAG
RNAcentral lists this long non-coding RNA (254 nucleotides) under Phoenix dactylifera (date palm). Its description in RNAcentral is "long non-coding RNA (PDAC_LNC016190)". The record is from RNAcentral. Lineage: Eukaryota; Viridiplantae; Streptophyta; Magnoliopsida; Arecales; Arecaceae.